Molecule: ribosomal RNA, 532 nt
Filed under: uncultured bacterium
Lineage: Bacteria
Description: bacterial SSU rRNA
Rfam family: Bacterial small subunit ribosomal RNA
Source: RNAcentral
AGUCAAUAGAUACCCUGGUAGUCCACGCCGUAAACGAUGAGUACUAGGUGUAGGAGGUAUCGACUCCUUCUGUGCCGCAGUUAACACAAUAAGUACUCCGCCUGGGAAGUACGGUCGCAAGAUUAAAACUCAAAGGAAUUGACGGGGGCCCGCACAAGCAGCGGAGCAUGUGGUUUAAUUCGAAGCAACGCGAAGAACCUUACCUAGACUUGACAUCCCCUGAAUAACGUAGAGAUACGCGAAGCCCUUCGGGGCAGGGAGACAGGUGGUGCAUGGUUGUCGUCAGCUCGUGUCGUGAGAUGUUGGGUUAAGUCCCGCAACGAGCGCAACCCUUAUCAUUAGUUGCUACCAUUUAGUUGAGCACUCUAGUGAGACUGCCCGGGUUAACCGGGAGGAAGGCGGGGAUGACGUCAAAUCAUCAUGCCCCUUAUGUCUAGGGCUACACACGUGCUACAAUGGUGAGAACAACGAGAUGCAAUACCGCGAGGUGGAGCAAAACUUCAAAACUCAUCUCAGUUCGGAUUGUAGGCUG